Molecule: long non-coding RNA, 888 nt
Filed under: Oncorhynchus kisutch (coho salmon)
Lineage: Eukaryota; Metazoa; Chordata; Actinopteri; Salmoniformes; Salmonidae
Description: lncRNA (ENSOKIG00005011785.1)
Source: RNAcentral
GGUCAUGGUGGGAUCAAGAUAGUUUCUGGCCACAUGCUCACAGACACAGCACAGCCCAGAGCAUUGACCGGGUCCUUUCAACAUGCCACAGAACAUUACGCAAGACUGUGCAGAAACACCCUCCUUUUCCAUGAGUUGAAGUGUGGUUGGUUGUGCAACGUGCCAUGCCUUCUCUGACCACCUCUGUCACAUUGAACUGGGUCACACAGACAAACAGGUUAUGGCAUACGUGGUUUCCCCCUCAGAGAAUACAUCACAACAGAUCGUGGCUAUAAUAUUGAAUCAAAUCCUCUACGGUGGAUCGAAGUAACUCAGCCACAGUGCAACUAAAAGGGUCCCGGCUGACGGCUCUAGUCUAGCUACAGUACCAAACAGCAUACAGCCCAUGAACUUCCGAGCUCAGCCUGGUCCCAGAACUGUUGUGCUGUACUGCCAACUUAUGAGGUUGUCGUUGGCAUGACGACAGCCAGAGAGGGCUAUUCGGUGAAAACAGGGGAAGGGGCUUCUCAGGGCCUAGACUGGGGUCCGUCUCUGGUUUGGGUCUGGCAGCCCUCUUCCUCCCUACCUCUCCAGACCCCAUCAACAGCCUCUGUGUUCAGCCUACAUGUGAUACAGCAGACACCAUGAAUCCUGGUCUAGUGCUCCCAGUGAACUGAUUCCUGAUGCUUCUGACAGCUCCUGAUGUGCUGCCCUUCUCCCCUGUCUCGAGAACCCAGAGCCUCGAAAGCCAAGGCUGUUUCAGGUUGCAAUUGGAUGGAAGGAAAGUUAAUUUAGCCCUGACAAUUAAUCUGCAGGAGCCAAACACCCUGUCUGGCUGUUGAAGUGUGACAGCACUGGCGAAGCAGCAGCAACAGCCAGCCUGGACGGGUGCGAUCUGUCUCUCAGCUC